AAAAUCAGCUGGGGGAGCCCCGACAGCGGGGCUGAGAUGGCGCAGCGGCGCCGACCCUUUGAACCUGAUGCAGGUCAUACUGCCGUAGGGAAAGCGCGACAACAAAGCC
This 109-nucleotide non-coding RNA is filed under the name Desulfosarcina cetonica. RNAcentral describes it as "TPP". It matches the Rfam family "TPP riboswitch aptamer (THI element)". From Rfam's summary of the family: Vitamin B(1) in its active form thiamin pyrophosphate (TPP) is an essential coenzyme that is synthesised by coupling of pyrimidine and thiazole moieties in bacteria. The previously detected thiamin-regulatory element, thi box was extended, resulting in a new, highly conserved RNA secondary structure, the THI element, which is widely distributed in eubacteria and also occurs in some archaea. The record is from RNAcentral. Lineage: Bacteria; Pseudomonadati; Thermodesulfobacteriota; Desulfobacteria; Desulfobacterales; Desulfosarcinaceae.